CAGCUUAGCCGAUAUGGUUAAGCCGCGAAUGGCUCAUUACAACAGCCAUAGUUUGUUGGAUCUUAAAGUCCUACUUGGAUAACUGUGGUAAUUCUAGAGCUAAUACACGCAAUUAAACCCUAACCUUAUGGGCAGGGUGCAUUUAUUAGAACAAAACCAAUUGGCUUCGGUCAUUUUUGGUGAAUCUGAAUAACUACGCUGAUCGCACGGUCUCGCACUGGCGACGUAUCCUUCAAGUGUCUGCCUUAUCAACUGUCGAUGGUAGUUUAUAUGACUACCAUGGUUGUAACGGGUAACGGAGAAUAAGGGUUCGACUCCGGAGAGGGAGCCUGAGAAACGGCUACCACAUCCAAGGAAGGCAGCAGGCGCGCAAAUUACCCACUCUCAGAACGAGGAGGUAGUGACGAAAAAUAACGAGACAGUUCUCUAUGAGGUCUGUCAUCGGAAUGGGUACAAUUUAAACCCUUUAACGAGGAUCUAUUGGAGGGCAAGUCUGGUGCCAGCAGCCGCGGUAAUUCCAGCUCCAAUAGCGUAUAUAAAAGUUGUUGCGGUUAAAAAGCUCGUAGUUGGAUCUGCGAUCGUAGACACUGGUUCCCUUCACGGGAUACUUGCUGUCUCGAUCUACCUUGUUAGACGUCCCUUAGUGCUCUUCACUGAGUGCUCUGGGUGUCUAGCUCGUUUACUUUGAAAAAAUUAGAGUGCUUAACGCAGGCAUUUGCCUGAAUAGUGGUGCAUGGAAUAAUGGAAUAGGACCUCGGUUCUAUUUUGUUGGUUUUAAGAGCAUGAGGUAAUGAUUAAGAGGGACAGACGGGGGCAUUCGUACUGCUACGUUAGAGGUGAAAUUCUUGGAUCGUAGCAUGACGAACAACUGCGAAAGCAUUUGCCAAGAAUGUUUUCAUUAAUCAAGAACGAUAGUUAGAGGUUCGAAGGCGAUCAGAUACCGCCCUAGUUCUAACCGUAAACGAUGCCACUUGACCCCGAUGAUCUUGCAUUCUGCUGGUUGUCGGAGUCGCCCGGAAACGAUUAAAGUUUUCGGUUCCGGGGGAAGUAUGGUUGCAAAUCCGAAACUUAAAGGAAUUGACGGAAGGGCACCACCAGGAGUGGAGCCUGCGGCUUAAUUUGACUCAACACGGGGAAACUCACCCGGCCCGGACACUGUAAGGAUUGACAGAUUGAAAGCUCUUUCACGAUUCAGUGGAUGGUGGUGCAUGGCCGUUCUUAGUUGGUGGAGCGAUUUGUCUGGUUAAUUCCGAUAACGAACGAGACUCUAGCCUACUAAAUAGUAUGGAGAUCUUUACGUCUCCACUACUUCUUAGAGGGACUGACGGCGUUUAGCCGUACGAAAUUGAGCAAUAACAGGUCUGUGAUGCCCUUAGAUGUCCGGGGCUGCACGCGCGCUACACUGUAGACAGCAACGUGCUUCAAAACCUUUUCCGAAAGGAAUGGGUAACCCCAUGAAACGUCUACGUGAUUGGGAUUGAGAUUUGCAAUUAUCUCUCAUGAACGAGGAAUUCCCAGUAAGUGCGAGUCAUCAGCUCGCGUUGAUUACGUCCCUGCCCUUUGUACACACCGCCCGUCGCUACUACCGAUUGGGAAAAUUUCAGAAUGCUUAGGACUGUGGCUUGUUUGGCCUUUGGCUUUACUCGUCGCGGAAAUAAGUAUAAUGAUAUUCCUAGAGAAGUAAAGUCGAAAG
Molecule: ribosomal RNA, 1693 nt
Filed under: Ptycholaimellus ocellatus
Lineage: Eukaryota; Metazoa; Nematoda; Chromadorea; Chromadorida; Chromadoridae
Description: SSU rRNA
Rfam family: Eukaryotic small subunit ribosomal RNA
Source: RNAcentral